GAUGAACGCUGGCGGCGUGCCUAAUACAUGCAAGUCGAGCGAACGGACGAGAAGCUUGCUUCUCUGAUGUUAGCGGCGGACGGGUGAGUAACACGUGGAUAACCUACCUAUAAGACUGGGAUAACUUCGGGAAACCGGAGCUAAUACCGGAUAAUAUUUUGAACCGCAUGGUUCAAAAGUGAAAGACGGUCUUGCUGUCACUUAUAGAUGGAUCCGCGCUGCAUUAGCUAGUUGGUAAGGUAACGGCUUACCAAGGCAACGAUGCAUAGCCGACCUGAGAGGGUGAUCGGCCACACUGGAACUGAGACACGGUCCAGAAUCCUACGGGAGGCAGCAGUAGGGAAUCUUCCGCAAUGGGCGAAAGCCUGAAGGAGCAACGCCGCGUGAGUGAUGAAGGUCUUCGGAUCGUAAAACUCUGUUAUUAGGGAAGAACAUAUGUGUAAGUAACUGUGCACAUCUUGACGGUACCUAAUCAGAAAGCCACGGCUAACUACGUG
Molecule: ribosomal RNA, 497 nt
Filed under: uncultured bacterium
Lineage: Bacteria
Description: partial 16S ribosomal RNA
Rfam family: Bacterial small subunit ribosomal RNA
Source: RNAcentral